Molecule: ribosomal RNA, 468 nt
Filed under: uncultured bacterium
Lineage: Bacteria
Description: partial 16S ribosomal RNA
Rfam family: Bacterial small subunit ribosomal RNA
Source: RNAcentral
GACGAACGCUGGCGGCGUGCUUAACACAUGCAAGUCGAACGGAAAGGCCCUGCUUUUGUGGGGUGCUCGAGUGGCGAACGGGUGAGUAACACGUGAGUAACCUGCCCUUGACUUUGGGAUAACUUCAGGAAACUGGGGCUAAUACCGGAUAGGAGCUCCUGCUGCAUGGUGGGGGUUGGAAAGUUUCGGCGGUUGGGGAUGGACUCGCGGCUUAUCAGCUUGUUGGUGGGGUAGUGGCUUACCAAGGCUUUGACGGGUAGCCGGCCUGAGAGGGUGACCGGUCACAUUGGGACUGAGAUCCGGCCCAGACUCCGACGGGAGGCAGCAGUGGGGAAUAUUGCACAAUGGGCGGACGCCUGAUGCAGCAACGCCGCGUGCGGGAUGACGGCCUUCGGGUUGUAAACCGCUUUCGCCUGUGACGAAGCGUGAGUGACGGUAAUGGGUAAAGAAGCACCGGCUAACUACGUG